This 69-nucleotide transfer RNA is filed under the name Pila sp. BPBM 209937. RNAcentral describes it as "tRNA-Val". Lineage: Eukaryota; Metazoa; Mollusca; Gastropoda; Architaenioglossa; Ampullariidae. The record is from RNAcentral. RNAcentral also lists the same sequence under 1 other name.
UGAAAUAUAGUAUAUUUUAAUACAUUUCAUUUACACUGAAAAAAUAUUUAAAUUAUUAAAUUAUUUCAA